RNAcentral lists this long non-coding RNA (645 nucleotides) under Mus caroli (Ryukyu mouse). Its description in RNAcentral is "lncRNA (MGP_CAROLIEiJ_G0003523.1)". The record is from RNAcentral. Lineage: Eukaryota; Metazoa; Chordata; Mammalia; Rodentia; Muridae.
GGAGAGGGAAUUGGCAGGUUCAGCGGGAGGCUACUCCCCCACCUGUCUCCAGGCACUGCAGACACAGCUGCUGCGGAAGGAGACAGUCAAAGCUUCCAAGGAAAGAAAUGGCCAAGAUUUGAGAGAAACCUGGCAGCGUCCCCAAGCCUGGCACGGGAUCGCCUCAGACGCACUCGGCUGCUCCGGAGGCGGAGCGCGAAGCAUCGGACCCGGCGGGCGGAGCCAGGCCAGCGGGGCGCAGCGCAACGCCUUCCGCCAGGGCGUCUGGCGCCACCUACCGGCGACCGCGCAAGCGUCAAUGCGACCCCAAAGCAAGCUGCUGUGAGCUGGCUGGACCUGGUCCCAGCCACUAGCAACAACGUUUCUAACAAAGGCCACCCGUCUUAGCCUACCCAGCUCAGAAACUCCUGUCUGAGUGCUCUGCCCUAGGAGUUGAUCUAACUGCUUUAUGUAAACCCAACCUGAGGACGAAGGCAGUCUGUGAUCCCAGUAUAGGCUCAGCGAAGAGUGUGUGCUCCCCACAACAGUAGCAUGAAUGAACAUAUGAAUGAAUGAAUCAACCUAUUUAAAAAAAAAAAAAAGCUUUCAGAUAUACUUAUGUUUGUCAGACAUUUUGUUGGUGGCUAGUAAAGUCUACAGUAACUG